Molecule: long non-coding RNA, 2388 nt
Filed under: Coffea arabica (coffee)
Lineage: Eukaryota; Viridiplantae; Streptophyta; Magnoliopsida; Gentianales; Rubiaceae
Description: long non-coding RNA (CARA_LNC001685)
Source: RNAcentral
UGAGUAGAUAUGUAUGAACAUCUGAAUACAUGAAAAGUAACCAUGUGAAUUCUAAAGAUCAAGUAUGCAAGUCAUCUUCUCAUUUUCAUCUAAAUCCACUAUUGUGAUGUUCGUCUUUUUGGUUCUCUUCCUAGCUAGUCUGUGGUCUAUGAUGAUGAGGAUGUACCAGUGAACAAGUGUUCCCUGAUGUUAUGUACUAGCUUGAGAAAAUAAUGAAGUUCUAAGUUGGGUAUCUAUUAGAUAGACAAAAGUAACUUUAUGUUGAUGACAUUUAAAAGAAGAUUCAAGCACCAAUGUACACAAGUAGGGAAAUACUAGCCAUCAGGUCCCUUUCUCUCAUAUUGAGAGUCAUCAUUAGGAUCUGUCAGACUUUUCUUGAUCCUCCCUUGUCAUUUACUAGUAAUUAGAUCUAAUCCAUUUGCUAUUUCGCAUGACAAACAAACUCUUCGUGGCUCUCUUUAGCAGAAUUUAUUAUGCUUUUGUGGCCAGAUUUGCCUGGUGAUUAUCAAUGUCAAAUGAAACUAUUGGAGGAUCGUGUCUGAUAGAAGCUGGAAUAUUUGAUCAAAGAAAAACAAAAUUGAUCAAACACGGUAAAAUAGCAGUUGCACUUCAAACUUCACCCACCUAAUCCAUUAAUUUUGGGUAUAGUUUCUGCUAAUCAUGAGAUCGAAAUGCUGAUGCUGUACAAACAGAAAAAAUUGUUGACAUAGUAAACCAAAGAUUGAGAAAAGAAAUAUAAGCAUGAAUAGAAACAGGGAAACUGGUUAGAAACAGAGAUGCUCGCCCCUCGUGUCAUCUGUUACUACUUGGGUUUUAUAUAUAUAUAUAGCUUAUUGUCUGAAAAGUGAAAAGUAGUAGCAGUUGAAUAGAUUUCAGAUGUCAAAAACCGAAUGUGCAUGCAUCAUUCUUGGGUCAGCUCAAGGCCUCUGUCUAAAAUCCUAUGUUCCUUAUCGUACUCGGUUUAAUCUAGUCCACCCUACCCUAUCUCAUAUUCCAAUCCAAGACCAUUUCUACGAUUCCUUUGUCACAAAGUUCUCCGAUGUAAUUAAGAAGAUUUUCCAUGCAUAUAAAAUUACCUCUUCAUUGGUCAUCAAUAACGUGACGCAUUGGGAAUAAAAAGAUUAGUUAAAAAAAAAAUCAGCAAUCAGAUGAGGCCCGCCCGUGGUGGAAGGUGGGCGUGUUUUUUUUUUUUUUUUUCCUAAUGGAGUGGAUAUCCAGAUCAAUUCUCAUGGGAUUCGACUAAUUUCAUUCCGUUACGGAAGGAGAGGCCUCAUCUCUCCGAAUACAAUAAUCAUAGAACUCGAAUCUUUGUCAGUACUGAACACCAGCUCCUAAAAAAGCUUGUUGAGACCAACCGAGUUGACCACGAAAGCGUGAAAGGUGGGCGUCAAGUACUCCUAUUUGGAGAUGUCCCGCGGAUAUGUUGACUUCCUUAUCGGACAAGAAAGUACUACUAGUCCUAAAAAAUUUUUCGAGAACCAUUUCGUAUAAAUAAAUACUCCUCUCCCUCAGGCUCCUCCCACAGCACAAGCAUCUUUUCACCCCCCACCAUUUUGUUUCAGACAUCAAACAACUCUAGUCUUAUCAAAUUAUUCUUUCUUUGAUUAAAUUAAUGUCUCUAAGGGCAAGGUCGACACCAUCCGCCACCGCAACCUCGGUUGCCGCCACCACCGAAGAUGCUCCCGACACCCCAAAACCUCAACCACCACAGCGCUCCUCCUCACCUCUAUCUCAACGCGCACUAUCUCAAGCAUUAACCAGCACGGCCAACUUGGCUAACCUCCUCCCCACGGGGACCCUUUUAGCUUUCCAGCUGCUAACACCGGUUUUCACCAACAAUGGCUCGUGCGACGCGGCCACACGGCCCAUGACCAUCAUCCUCCUCGCCCUGCUCGCCGUCUCGUGCUUCCUAGCUUCCUUCACCGACAGCGUUAAAUUAUCCGAUGGGCAGGUUUAUUAUGGUUUUGCAACUUUUAGAGGAAUGUGGCUGUUCGACGCUCGGGGGACUAUUGCUUCUGGUUCUGAAGUUGGCGUUCCUGACUUGAGCAAGUAUAGAUUGGGAUUCAUCGACUGGGUUCAUUCAGUUCUAUCCGUUUUUGUGUUUGCUGCCGUGGCUUUGAGAGAUAAAAAUGUGGUGGGGUGUUUGUAUCCGAAGCCGGAUCAUGAAGUUCAAGAGGUUUUGGACAUCGUUCCCAUUGGAAUUGGAUGCCUUUGCGGGUUGCUGUUCUUGGUCUUCCCCACCAGAAGACAUGGGAUCGGCUACCCUGUCACUCCAGGCAAUUAAUUAGUCACAUGUUCUUCUGUCUAAUUAUUCUUUGAUUCUUCACUCUGUGAUCAGUAAUAAUAGUAUACAAAUUCUGUUCCCUGAUUAACAAAAAAAAAAAAAAA